This 409-nucleotide transfer-messenger RNA is filed under the name Candidatus Saccharimonadota bacterium. It matches the Rfam family "transfer-messenger RNA". Rfam says of the family: Bacterial tmRNA, also known as 10Sa RNA or SsrA, is named for its dual tRNA and mRNA-like properties. RNAcentral also lists the same sequence under 1 other name. The record is from RNAcentral. Lineage: Bacteria; Candidatus Saccharimonadota.
GGGGCUGACACAGCUUUCGACAGAUGGAUCUUAACAACCUACUUUGCAAGACGACCUCAGACGUAAUCUGAACAAUAAUUGCAAAUACAAUUGCAACCGCAUGGGCUAACUGCAAGCAAUUCGUUGCGACAGCAUUCGCUGUUCCUGCAGCAGUCCGUGUGACAGCCUAACUAUAUUAGGCCAUCGCAUCACUCAGGUGACAUAGAGUGAUUUUGCGGUGUCAUAUUUAUGUCACUUACGCGUUUAUAGGGCAGCAGCUAUAAAUGCGGAAAACUUUCUGCGCGCUGAUGUACAUUGUUUGUUUGAUUUCUAUUGUACUGAUGCGUAAAAAAAUACGAAUCAAACUAUGCUUGUAGACGAGUAGAGGGUUACCAUUUGGACCCGGGGGCAGUACCCGGCAGCUCCACCA